GAGGCCGGGAAAACCUGUGACUUUUGUAGAGAUCAAACCAGAUACCACAGAAAAGAAGGAAUUGAACCAGAUCCUUGUAUUUGGGUUGCCUGGAAAUCCCGUGAGCUCUUUAGUUUGUUUCCAACUAUUUGUAGUCCCUGCCAUUCGCCAACUUGGUGGAUGGGCAAACCCUCAUCUUUUAAGAGUGCAGGUACGUCUUCCAGAGCCAAUAAAGUCAGAUCCUAUUCGACCACUGUUUCAUUGUGCA
This 247-nucleotide unclassified non-coding RNA is filed under the name Hevea brasiliensis (rubber tree). The record is from RNAcentral. Lineage: Eukaryota; Viridiplantae; Streptophyta; Magnoliopsida; Malpighiales; Euphorbiaceae.